This 395-nucleotide small RNA is filed under the name Pseudomonas sp. OF001. RNAcentral describes it as "CrcZ". It matches the Rfam family "Pseudomonas sRNA CrcZ". Lineage: Bacteria; Pseudomonadati; Pseudomonadota; Gammaproteobacteria; Pseudomonadales; Pseudomonadaceae. The record is from RNAcentral.
ACGACAAAAACAAGAACGCAUCACAACAGAACAAAAACAACACGUAACGACUCCAUAACAACAAGAACAAUCGGAUGGAGGCGCAGCAAACAGAUUCUUUUGGAGAGGAGUUGCCCGACAGGGUUCUCCCCCGACCGGACCGAGAACGAUAAAACUGCCCCGAGGCAGCGGCCAGCACCGGUAGGACCCGCUAGGGUUGUGGCGACAUCAGCGUCCAAAGGAAUACGUUUGUUCUUGAGUCCCUGCUUGGGACCUUAACCGGACCAUGGAGUCCGGGCGGGCAACCAACAAGAACAACAAGCCUGUACCAACAAGAAGAACACAGCACGACCGACUUCAAGGGGGAGCCUACGGGCUCCCCCUUGUGCUAUCUGCGAUCCGUUCGAGCCUGACCG